RNAcentral lists this ribosomal RNA (497 nucleotides) under uncultured bacterium. RNAcentral describes it as "partial 16S ribosomal RNA". It matches the Rfam family "Bacterial small subunit ribosomal RNA", at positions 28 to 507 of the family's 1533-position model. The record is from RNAcentral.
GAUGAACGCUGGCGGCGUGCCUAAUACAUGCAAGUCGAGCGAACAGACGAGGAGCUUGCUCCUCUGACGUUAGCGGCGGACGGGUGAGUAACACGUGGAUAACCUACCUAUAAGACUGGGAUAACUUCGGGAAACCGGAGCUAAUACCGGAUAAUAUAUUGAACCGCAUGGUUCAAUAGUGAAAGACGGUUUUGCUGUCACUUAUAGAUGGAUCCGCGCCGCAUUAGCUAGUUGGUAAGGUAACGGCUUACCAAGGCAACGAUGCGUAGCCGACCUGAGAGGGUGAUCGGCCACACUGGAACUGAGACACGGUCCAUACUCCUACGGGAGGCAGCAGUAGGGAAUCUUCCGCAAUGGGCGAAAGCCUGACGGAGCAACGCCGCGUGAUUGAUGAAGGUCUUCGGAUCGUAAAACUCUGUUAUUAGGGAAGAACAAAUGUGUAAGUAACUAUGCACGUCUUGACGGUACCUAAUCAGAAAGCCACGGCUAACUACGUG